This 325-nucleotide long non-coding RNA is filed under the name Mytilus galloprovincialis (Mediterranean mussel). The record is from RNAcentral. Lineage: Eukaryota; Metazoa; Mollusca; Bivalvia; Mytilida; Mytilidae.
GAAGGACUGUGAGGUGUACAUGUCCAACUGGCAGGUGUCAUCUGACCUCGACCUCAUUUUCAUGGAUCAGUGGUUAUAGUUAAAUUUUUGUGUUUUUGUCUGUUUUUCUCAUACUAUAUGCAAUAGGUCUACUAUAUUUGUUGUAUGGAAUGAUUGUAAGGUGUACAUGUCUAGCGGGCAGAUGUCUUGUGACCUUGACCUCAUUUUUAGGUUCAGUGGUCAAAGGUAAGUUUUUGAGUUUUGGUCUUUUUAUCUAAUACUAUAUGCCAUAGGUCAACUAUAUUUGGUGUAUGGAAAUAUUUUAUGAUUUUUAUGUCAGUCGCGC